UACGAAGGGGGCUAGCGUUGUUCGGAAUUACUGGGCGUAAAGCGCACGUAGGCGGGUCGUUAAGUCAGGGGUGAAAUCCCAGAGCUCAACUCUGGAACUGCCUUUGAUACUGGCGACCUAGAGUUCGGAAGAGGUUAGUGGAAUUCCCAGUGUAGAGGUGAAAUUCGUAGAUAUUGGGAAGAGCACCAGUGGCGAAGGCGGCUAACUGGUCCGAUACUGACGCUGAGGUGCGAAAGCGUGGGGAGCAAACAGG
Molecule: ribosomal RNA, 253 nt
Filed under: uncultured bacterium
Lineage: Bacteria
Description: partial 16S ribosomal RNA
Rfam family: Bacterial small subunit ribosomal RNA
Source: RNAcentral